UCCUUUAGAACAAAAGCAAGGAAAGGAAAUUAAUAUAUCUGAUCGCAUGUCAUAUUCCAUACUCUACCUGAAGGAAAAAGUGUUGAAAGAAAACAAAUAUUUAUAUCAUAUUCUGAAUAAAAUUAAUGUGUACUCCCUUCAUUUUCAAUUCACUCUCCUGCGCUAUGUGCUGACGAUGAUAUAGUGUUGCCCAGUCCAAUGGCCAUCCAUCAAUCCAUUUUUCAAUUGCAUGACAAGACAUUUUCUGAUUGGUUGCACAAUGGCAUUUUGACAACAAAUUCUCCAUCUAGGCAGUACUUUUAGGCUUUGGCAGUUGAUGCUCACUUUUUAUCACCAGACAUGCAUGCUAAUUAAUUAGGCCACAUAUUGAUGUUAUCUAGCUAGCUAGCUUUACAUGGCACUGCUUGCAUAUUGGAACAACCAGCCUCCAGAAGUUAGUUCAUGUCAGGUCUACAUUAUCUUUCCUGUAAUAAAAUAAAAAUUUACUUCUACUAGUGGAAAGUUCUCAUGUAAAGUGCUAGUCCCAAGAUUGGUAAAAUAAUAAUUAUCUCAGUGAGUGCAGUGACAUGAGCAAACUAAUUUGACGUGAAAGAAUGAUGAUGCAGACAAGUGGGUCAGGUUGGUCCAACCUGAGUUUCACAAACCCUGAAGCAAGUGAACAUGUAAGCAAAACACCAUGGACCCGUUCUUUUUAAUUAAUUAUGGAAUGUAUUUAUUCCAAACAUGGCAUAAGGCACUUACUCAACUGUGUAAAUUUAGGAACGAACCACUUCCAGGUUCAGUGUGCAAAGUCAACUGGUGUAGAAAAUAUUUUGUGACCUUUAAAGUCGUGUAUAGACAUGGUUCGACAUCAUUUCUUGCUGACAAAGUGGAAUUACUCCCAAUCCAAAAAGAUUCCAAAUCGAAAAGCGAAAUAUGAUAUAAGAGAUUACUGGUGACAAAGCGGAAUUACCCGCAACUCUGAAUAAAAUGUUCGUACUCAGAAUUCAGAAGUACUAAUACUUCUAAGUGGUUUGACCCUUUCAAACAUGAUCAUAAUUCAAAAUGGUGCAACAAGAAGUAGCAAAAUAAGCCGUGAGAAACACAUAAGAGUAAGGUUGCAACUUCUUUUAUUAUCAGAAGGUUGUAACAUUCUGCAAAACGCACUGGGCAUUGUAUCGAGCACCUGGCGAGCACGGACAACAGAUUGGGACAACUCACCCUGAAUCCGGCGGGCGGCCUCCUCCUCCGUCAGCCAAUCACCUCGCCUCGCCGGUGCCGCCGUGCCGAGGCCUUCCAUUGUGACGCCCUUCGUCGCCCACUCGCCCGUCACGUCCGUCGCCGGGAAGGAGAAAUGGUCCUGCUUGCGCCGCCGUGAGGAAGGAAAACGCCCAGCCGUGCGCCUCACCUUCUCCAAAGCCAUUUCACCGGAAAAGUCUAAUUGGGCCGGUUAACCACAAACA
RNAcentral lists this long non-coding RNA (1442 nucleotides) under Oryza brachyantha (malo sina). RNAcentral describes it as "long non-coding RNA (OBRA_LNC002740)". The record is from RNAcentral. Lineage: Eukaryota; Viridiplantae; Streptophyta; Magnoliopsida; Poales; Poaceae.